CUGCAGUUUGUCCAGAGCCCGGCUCCCUGCCAGAAACACACAGGCACAGAACAAAAGUAGAGCUGUCAAGAAGUUGGAAGGAAAAGCCGGUGCAUUCCUGCUUCUUGCUCAGAAGUUUCCCAACUAUGGGGCUCCCCGGACUGCUGGCCAGCGAGUCUGGACACAAACCUCCACAGCCAAGGUGCCUUCAGAGCUGCCCUUCCUGAGAGCCCCUCAGCCAUCCCUGCAGGCUCUUCCCUAUGGAGCCUACCAGAGUAGACCAUAUCAGACCCACAACAGCCCCAUUUGUCCUGACACUCGGCCCAGGAGGUGACCGAAGGUGUCCAGACGGGACUGAGCAGCAGAGGGAGCCAGGGUGUACAGGUCUCCCGGCCUUGCGCUGUCGCUGGAAGAUGGAGGCCCUCAAUGUGUCCGUCCCACUCAACUUCUCCCUGCCGCCCAACUUCGGCAAGCGCCCCACCGACCUGGCGCUGAGCGUCAUCCUGGUGUUCAUGCUGCUCAUCAUGAUGCUGUCGUUGGGCUGCACCAUGGAGCUCAGCAAGAUCAAGGCUCACUUCUGGAAGCCUAAGGGGCUGGCCAUCGCCGUGGUGGCGCAGUACGGCAUCAUGCCCCUCACUGCCUUCGCUCUGGGCAAGCUUUUCCGGUUGAACAAUAUUGAGGCACUAGCCAUCCUGAUCUGCGGCUGUUCCCCUGGCGGGAACUUGUCCAACGUCUUCAGUCUGGCCUUGAAGGGGGACAUGAACCUCAGCAUCGUGAUGACCACCUGUUCCACCUUCAUUGCCCUGGGCAUGAUGCCCCUCCUCCUAUAUGUUUACUCCAGGGGGAUCUAUGAUGGGGACCUGAAGGACAAGGUGCCCUAUGGAGGCAUUGUGUUAUCACUGAUCAUGAUUCUCAUUCCUUGCACCAUAGGCAUCUUCCUCAAUGCCAAAAGGCCACAAUACGUACGCUAUGUCACCAAGGGAGGAAUGGUCAUCAUGCUUUUGCUCAGUGUGGCCAUCACAGUGCUCUCUGUCAUCAACGUGGGCAAGAGCAUCAUGUUUGUUAUGACACCCCACCUGUGGGCCACCUCCUCCUUGAUGCCCUUCAUCGGCUUCCUGCUAGGCUACAUUCUCUCUGCUGUCUUCCGCCUCAAUGAACAAACACCAUCAAGUGACAGCUCUGCUGACAUAGCUGGGACCUCGGCUAGAGUCUAAUCCAAUUCACAAACAGCUGCUACUUUAAGGGAAUAGAUAACUUUGAAAGCCUGGAAUGGGAACAUCAGGCACCCUGUCUAUACAAAGCAGUGCAUGUCCAGAACUUUUGCUCUUUUCAAGCAUAGUAGACAAAUGUUUAUGCAGGAAUUUACAUUAGUAGCACCCUAGCACUCCCGUCCCCCACCUCAAAAAACUUGUGUUUUAAAAAUAUAAUUUUAAAAUAAUUAUUCAUACAAAAAACAAGUUGGGAGUUCCCAGUAGGAGGUGGGGUGGGGAGCUGGGUAAAAAGGGUAAAAGGAUUAAGAAGUACAAAUUGGUAGUUACAAAAUAGUCACAGGGAUGUAAAGUAUAGCAUAACGAAUAUAGUCAAUAAUAUUGCAGUAACUAUAUAUGGGGCCAGAUGAGUACUAAAAUUAUCAGGGGGUCACUUUGUAAAUUAUAUAAUUGUCUAACCACUAUGCUGUACACCUGAAACUAAUCCUCCUAUAUAAUAAAAGGGUAAUAUGCAAAUUGACCCUAACAGCUGAGAACAACCAGUUGCUAUGAUGUGCACUGACCACCAGGGGGCACACGUUAAAUGCAGGAGCUGCCCCCUGGUGGUCAGUGCGCUGCCACAGGGGGAGCGCUGCUCAGCCAGAAGCCGCUGGCCAGCACAGCAGCAGUGGAGGGAGCCUUUCCGGCAGUGCUUAGGGGAGCAGGCCUAAGCCGUCAAUUGGACAUCCCCCAAGGGGUCCUGACCUGCAUGAGGGCACAGUCUGGGCUGAGGGACCACCUGAGUGCACAAAUUUUUGUGCACCAGGUCUCUAGAAUAAAAUAAUGAAUAUCAAUUGUAAUUAAAAAUAAAAAAUGUUACAUAAUUUUUAAAAAUAAUCAUCCAUUUUAAAAAACAUGCUAAUAAAGACCAAAUUAGUACAGGAUAUAACACAUGGUGAUACAGUAGAGUCAAAAGACUGCCAAUGACUACUUGACGUCAACUUUCACGACAGAGUGGUAUGGAUCAUAUACAGCCCCAACAUCACAGCAUCAAGUACCGCCAGAGCAGUCUUCCUCAGAUGCUGAGACAGCUCUCAGGGGUUUUAGUGAAUAACAAUUAUUUUAAUACAUUAAUUACAAUUCAAUGAAUUAAACGUACAUUUAUUAAAUGUAAACAUCCCAUUCUUUAAUUCAUAAAAUGGGAAGCAAAGCUGAGAUUGUAUUCCAAUGAUAGAUAAAUGUGGCUGAAUCAAGUGUAUCUUUUUAAUCAUCACGUUUUAGAGUUAAAGGUAGCAAAGCCAGAAACUUGGGAACAGGACAAGAGCUUCAGAUGCAGGCGCACUGUCAGCAUGGAGACUGGAUGCCAAAAUAUUCAACUCUGCUCCACCAUCCUCAACGUGACCUUCCCCCCUGAAGUCAUCGGACCACUUUUCUUCUUUCCUCUCCUCUACAUGA
Molecule: RNA transcript, 2621 nt
Organism: Myotis daubentonii (Daubenton's bat)
Lineage: Eukaryota; Metazoa; Chordata; Mammalia; Chiroptera; Vespertilionidae
Gene: SLC10A1
Gene name: solute carrier family 10 member 1
Exons: 6
Source: RefSeq, a predicted model, not a curated record